RNAcentral lists this microRNA precursor (124 nucleotides) under Medicago truncatula (barrel medic). RNAcentral's name for it is "miR162 stem-loop (mtr-MIR162)". Its record names the gene mtr-MIR162. The stretch from base 11 to 117 matches the Rfam family "MIR162_1 microRNA precursor family". Lineage: Eukaryota; Viridiplantae; Streptophyta; Magnoliopsida; Fabales; Fabaceae. The record is from miRBase by way of RNAcentral.
AGAUGAGGUGAAGUUCGUCACUGGAUGCAGCGGUUCAUCGAUCUGUUCCUGAAUUUUGUUUGUCUCGUAAAACAAACAUGAAUCGGUCGAUAAACCUCUGCAUCCAGCGCUCACUUUCCCCUCU